UACGUAGGGGGCUAGCGUUGUCCGGAAUCAUUGGGCGUAAAGCGCGUGUAGGCGGUCCGGUAAGUCCGCUGUGAAAGUCGGGGGCUCAACCCUCGGAUGCCGGUGGAUACUGUCGGGCUUGAGUACGGAAGAGGCGAGUGUAAUUCCUGGUGUAGCGGUGAAAUGCGCAGAUAUCAGGAGGAACACCAAUUGCGAAGGCAGCUCGCUGGGACGUUACUGACGCUGAGACGCGAAAGCGUGGGGAGCAAACAGG
Molecule: ribosomal RNA, 253 nt
Filed under: uncultured bacterium
Lineage: Bacteria
Description: partial 16S ribosomal RNA
Rfam family: Bacterial small subunit ribosomal RNA
Source: RNAcentral